Molecule: long non-coding RNA, 329 nt
Organism: Alligator mississippiensis (American alligator)
Lineage: Eukaryota; Metazoa; Chordata; Crocodylia; Alligatoridae
Exons: 3
Source: RefSeq, a predicted model, not a curated record
GGAGCUCCUCGGGAUCUCCGCGCUUGCUGCCGCUGCACUCCCACCGUCAUCGUCGGAGCCAUGCCCGCCCCCCAGCCAUCAGGGGCACUGAGUUCAUGAACGCAGUGCCUUAUUUGCGGAUUUCGCCAUUCGCAGGGGAUAUGAGAACAUAUCCCCCACAAAUGGGCACAGGAAGAAAAGAAGAGGACAAGAACAUAGGCUGAGAAGUGGUCUACUGAGGAGGGAAGGAUACUGUAUGAAGCUGUCUGGUGGACAGAACAGGCUAGCUAUUGCUAUGCAAGCCAACUUCGGAGCACAAUUGGGUCCCUUGCUUUUAACUUAACAUUAAA